This 22-nucleotide microRNA is filed under the name Macaca mulatta (Rhesus monkey). Its description in RNAcentral is "mml-miR-556-3p". Its record names the gene mml-miR-556-3p. Lineage: Eukaryota; Metazoa; Chordata; Mammalia; Primates; Cercopithecidae. The record is from miRBase by way of RNAcentral.
AUAUUACAAUUAGCUGAUCUUU